GCUCUGUGAUGAACCCCAUGCGUGUCAGCUGAGCCCUGGCUUCCCUGUCCUCUCAGCCCAAGCCCAGGGAGUGUUCUACUUCCUGGGGCUGUUGAUUGGCCUCCAGGGCAGCCCUGGGCAAAGGAUCAAUCUCUGUAUUCUGAGAGC
Small nucleolar RNA from Oryctolagus cuniculus (rabbit), 147 nucleotides. Ensembl annotates it as small nucleolar RNA, C/D box 10. Its record names the gene SNORD10. Lineage: Eukaryota; Metazoa; Chordata; Mammalia; Lagomorpha; Leporidae. The record is from Ensembl.